CAGGGAAUCUUGCGCAAUGGACGGAAGUCUGACGCAGCGACGCCGCGUGGGUGAAGACGGCCUUCGGGUUGUAAAGCCCUUUUCUGGAGGAAGAGGGAGGACGGUACUCCAGGAAUAAGUGUCGGCUAACUACGUGCCAGCAGCCGCGGUAAUACGUAGGACACGAGCGUUAUCCGGAUUUACUGGGCGUAAAGCGCCUGUAGGCGGUUCUUCAAGUCGUUUGUGAAAGCCCUGGGCUCAACCUGGGGAGGCCAAGCGAUACUGGAGGACUUGAGGGUGACAGAGGGGAGUGGAAUUUCCGGUGUAGCGGUAAAAUGCGCAGAUAUCGGGAGGAACACCAGUGGCGAAGGCGGCUCCCUGGGUCACACCAGACGCUGAGAGGCGAAAGCUAGGGGAGCGA
RNAcentral lists this ribosomal RNA (400 nucleotides) under uncultured bacterium. RNAcentral describes it as "bacterial SSU rRNA". It matches the Rfam family "Bacterial small subunit ribosomal RNA", at positions 355 to 771 of the family's 1533-position model. The record is from RNAcentral.